AUGUCGUAGGCAAGCGUCUGCGUGCCGAAUGCGCGGUUGUCGCAUUCGGGGAGCGCGCCGUCCAGACUCCCCGCCGUUGCGUUGACGAUGACGUC
RNAcentral lists this transfer RNA (95 nucleotides) under Paraburkholderia humisilvae. Its description in RNAcentral is "tRNA-Asn". Lineage: Bacteria; Pseudomonadati; Pseudomonadota; Betaproteobacteria; Burkholderiales; Burkholderiaceae. The record is from RNAcentral.